GAAUAUUGGACAAUGGGCGAAAGCCUGAUCCAGCAACGCCGCGUGAGGGAUGACGGCCUUCGGGUUGUAAACCUCUUUCAGCGGGGACGAAGCGAAAGUGACGGUACCCGCAGAAGAAGGACCGGCCAACUACGUGCCAGCAGCCGCGGUAAUACGUAGGGUCCGAGCGUUGUCCGGAAUUAUUGGGCGUAAAGGGCUCGUAGGCGGUCUGUCGCGUCGGGAGUGAAAACUCAGGGCUCAACCCUGAGCGUGCUUCCGAUACGGGCAGACUAGAGGUAUUCAGGGGAGAACGGAAUUCCUGGUGUAGCGGUGAAAUGCACAGAUAUCAGGAGGAACACCGGUGGCGAAGGCGGUUCUCUGGGAAUUACCUGACGCUGAGGAGCGAAAGCAUGGGGAGCGAACA
Molecule: ribosomal RNA, 403 nt
Filed under: uncultured bacterium
Lineage: Bacteria
Description: bacterial SSU rRNA
Rfam family: Bacterial small subunit ribosomal RNA
Source: RNAcentral